This 253-nucleotide ribosomal RNA is filed under the name uncultured bacterium. Its description in RNAcentral is "partial 16S ribosomal RNA". It matches the Rfam family "Bacterial small subunit ribosomal RNA", at positions 524 to 776 of the family's 1533-position model. The record is from RNAcentral.
UACGUAGGGUGCAAGCGUUAAUCGGAAUUACUGGGCGUAAAGCGUGCGCAGGCGGUGAUGUAAGACAGGUGUGAAAUCCCCGGGCUUAACCUGGGAACUGCAUUUGUGACUGCAUCGCUGGAGUGCGGCAGAGGGGGAUGGAAUUCCGCGUGUAGCAGUGAAAUGCGUAGAGAUGUGGAGGAAUACCGAUGGCGAAGGCAGCCCCCUGGGAUGACACUGACGCUGAAGCACGAAAGCGUGGGGAGCAAACAGG